RNAcentral lists this ribosomal RNA (235 nucleotides) under uncultured bacterium. RNAcentral describes it as "partial 16S ribosomal RNA". It matches the Rfam family "Bacterial small subunit ribosomal RNA", at positions 96 to 334 of the family's 1533-position model. The record is from RNAcentral.
CGGCGGACGGGUGAGUAAUGUCUGGGAAACUGCCCGAUGGAGGGGGAUAACUACUGGAAACGGUAGCUAAUACCGCAUAACGUCGCAAGACCAAAGAGGGGGACCUUCGGGCCUCUUGCCAUCGGAUGUGCCCAGAUGGGAUUAGCUAGUAGGUGGGGUAACGGCUCACCUAGGCGACGAUCCCUAGCUGGUCUGAGAGGAUGACCAGCCACACUGGAACUGGGACACGGUCCAG